Molecule: long non-coding RNA, 838 nt
Organism: Dalotia coriaria
Lineage: Eukaryota; Metazoa; Arthropoda; Insecta; Coleoptera; Staphylinidae
Exons: 2
Source: RefSeq, a predicted model, not a curated record
UUCAAAACAAGGCAAAAAAAGACGCCAAUUAUUGAUCAUGUUAAUGUCUGCCUACUUAACUAACAUCUUAAACAACAUGAUAAACAUAGCUAGCGGUGAUUAAAACAUAAUUGUCAAAACAAAACAAAAACAUCAACAAACAGAAAAAUUGUCCGUGAUUUAUUAUUUUUAAAAAUCACACGUCGCCAUAUUCUAACUAUUUGCGUUUUACACGAAUUUGGAUGAAAGCAGCCUUGGCAUGGGGAAAUGCCAAGAAAUUUUCAAAGAUAUCGGAUUUCUCCUUAAGUUUAUAGAAUGUAUCGUCAUUAUCGUUUUGGCAAUAUUUUGGUAUCACUUGUAUGGCGCAACAGUGUACGACCACCAUGCAGUCUAUCGCCUCCUGGGAGGACUCUUCAUAGGCGCAUGCUUUUAUUUCUUUUUCCCAGUUUUCAUCAUGAUGAUCAUGUAUGCUGUAACGAGUUUCCAAGAUCAUAUGUAUGAGUUAAUCAUUUGUAUCUCCGGAGCUAUUUCCGGUGGUAUCGUGGGCAUUGCCUACUUGCUCGAGUGUUUCGUAGGAACAAGACGUACGAAUUACUACGAAGUUCGUCACAACGAUUAUCGUGAUACCUAUCAUGACCGUUACGGUUACCGUGAUGAUGGUUAUGGGCAUGAUGGAUACGGUUCAGGAAGACAUAGUAAUGGUAAUCUCAUUAUCUUGAGUGUGCUUGCAUUCUUGUUGAUGGCGGUGUUUAUCGUUGACGCGAUCAUCAAUGGCGCACAAAAGAAAUGCAAGGCCUGCGGCGGCUAAUCAAAUUCAUUGAAAUUAUUUAUACAUUAAAUUAAAACGAAAUUGUUUGUC